Carassius carassius (crucian carp) is the source of this 201-nucleotide long non-coding RNA. RefSeq lists it as uncharacterized. NCBI's taxonomy places the organism in Eukaryota, Metazoa, Chordata, Actinopteri, Cypriniformes, Cyprinidae. The record is from RefSeq and is a predicted model, not a curated record. The transcript has 3 exons.
AUAAUCAAAAGAAAGAAAGAGCUUAAUAGGAGCAACAGUAUUCGCCUCCGUACUAACUUUUAGAAAAACCCAGAACUGGAAAGGUUGUUAUAGAGAAUAGGAGAACAACAGCAGCCUGAAACCACCAUGACUGAUCAAAGCUUAUGUCUUUAUCAUAACACACAUUUAUAGCCCUAAUCCUAAACUUAAGUGAGUGAGUGA